RNAcentral lists this ribosomal RNA (22 nucleotides) under Symbiodinium sp. RNAcentral describes it as "partial large ribosomal RNA subunit". Lineage: Eukaryota; Dinophyceae; Suessiales; Symbiodiniaceae. The record is from RNAcentral.
UAGCAUGAAGUCAGACAAGUGC